UCAAAUCCCAGAACCUUCUAAAUGUUUAUAUGUUGAGAGCAUCAAGUGAACUGUCACUUGGAUCAAUGGAUUUAGAAGGUUUUUCGUAGAAAUUCAACCAACUAAAUAGCACAUUUACUCGGGUUAUGAAAAGCUGGGUAAUAUGGUUCCCAUAUUGGCCACUAUAGGAAAUGUCAAUUUUCUCUAGAAUCAGCCAAACUGGACCAAUACUGCCCAUCUCAGGCCAAAUCAGGGCAGCGAGGGGCUUAUUGGGUACCUAUCACCCUAGAAUCAGACUGAUCUAUACUUCUCAAUACUGCUCAAGGUAACUUUUGAAUUGGUUAUUUAGUCUGUUUUCCACCAUUUCAAGGUAGGAACAAGCUUAGGGAAAAUCCGGGAGCUAUCCAGAUACAUUUCCCCGAGAUUCAAAGGAAGUACCAUUAAUUCUCAAAAAAGAAAAACUUGGGAGGUUUAAGUUGUGGGACUUAAAAGGAUGACUCCCAGAUCACAAUCAAGGAAACAAAGGUCCGCAUAUUUAUGACGAGGUGCAAUACAAGGAGGAUAUGAGCCAACACCAUCAGUCCCAUACUAGUACAUUAUACUCGAGCAGUUGUGUGACUCCCUCUACCAAGUGCACAACAUCAACCUGCUAUGCGGUGACAACGACAAGCCCUCUAGGCACUCAAUAUGGUAUCAAGGUGAGAGGCUGCAGUUGUAUGCCAGAAACAUUUCAAAGUUGUUCAAUAAUAUCAUAUAUGUAUACAUUUUUUUGUUACUUUUGGAAUGAGUACUGGUUGUAGACUAUUUCAUCUUGAAUCUUCAAAAGCUCCAGUAGCAUUCAUUGAUUCAAUGAUUUCUUGUAACCUAAUUGCAUUUCAAUUAUUAAUUAUAACACAUGUUUUAAAAUAUCUAUAAUUCCAAGUUAUGUGUUGUUAUGACAUAGAAGAUACCAUACAAAAACCAUGACUAGGGCAUUCAAAUUGAUACGCUUACCAUAUCACAGAGACAAAGCAUCAAGACAGUAAAACUAAGGAAAAGGGGGAAAACAAUUUUGGAGGUCAAAAAAGGCCGUACCAAGGGCAUGCUGACCAUGUUAGAGGACCAGUUCAUGCCCUUUGUUGAUAUGGUGCACAGCCCACACGUAGUUGAUAUUUGUUUGAUUCUCAACAUGUCAAACCUUGAGAUAUCGUUCUUAAUCAGGCAUUCCAUAAAGCAUAAGGCAAUAGUGCCAAAGGAUCAUCUAUGUUGAUUUUAUCUCCCCCCUUUUAUCUUUAUACUUACCUCCUAGUUAUACCUUAAUAAAUUUUUAAUCACUUAAAAGAAAACAUAGAAAUGUAUAUCAACAAAUAUAUCAACUUUUUUCAACAACUUUGAAUAACGAAUUCGAAGAAACAAACAGGUCUAUUUGUGAAAUUAAUAGCGGAGGUCAAGCACCCCAAACCACUUAUUAUUAGAGAAAAUGGUGUGGAAAACCUC
RNAcentral lists this long non-coding RNA (1455 nucleotides) under Phoenix dactylifera (date palm). RNAcentral's name for it is "long non-coding RNA (PDAC_LNC010910)". Lineage: Eukaryota; Viridiplantae; Streptophyta; Magnoliopsida; Arecales; Arecaceae. The record is from RNAcentral.